RNAcentral lists this long non-coding RNA (583 nucleotides) under Homo sapiens (human). Its description in RNAcentral is "HSALNT0015023". The record is from RNAcentral. Lineage: Eukaryota; Metazoa; Chordata; Mammalia; Primates; Hominidae.
AGAAGAGGAAGCAAAAAUUGGAGUACAGUCUCAUAGAAGAAGGAACUGAAACAUUUGAUCUUGGAGGCAGCAGAUGGCUUUCUGUUUAUUGUCUCAUGUGAGACAGGCAGGGUGGUGUAUGUGUCUGACUCCGUGACUCCUGUUUUGAACCAGCCACAGUCUGAAUGGUUUGGCAGCACACUCUAUGAUCAGGUGCACCCAGAUGAUGUGGAUAAACUUCGUGAGCAGCUUUCCACUUCAGAAAAUGCCCUGACAGGGCGUAUCCUGGAUCUAAAGACUGGAACAGUGAAAAAGGAAGGUCAGCAGUCUUCCAUGAGAAUGUGUAUGGGCUCAAGGAGAUCGUUUAUUUGCCGAAUGAGGUGUGGCAGUAGCUCUGUGGACCCAGUUUCUGUGAAUAGGCUGAGCUUUGUGAGGAACAGAUGCAGGAAUGGACUUGGCUCUGUAAAGGAUGGGGAACCUCACUUCGUGGUGGUCCACUGCACAGGCUACAUCAAGGCCUGGCCCCCAGCAGGUGUUUCCCUCCCAGAUGAUGACCCAGAGGCUGGCCAGGGAAGCAAGUUUUGCCUAGUGGCCAUUGGCAGAU